RNAcentral lists this transfer RNA (74 nucleotides) under Gemmatimonadota bacterium. Its description in RNAcentral is "Gemmatimonadetes bacterium tRNA-His". It matches the Rfam family "tRNA". From Rfam's summary of the family: Transfer RNA (tRNA) molecules are approximately 80 nucleotides in length. Their secondary structure includes four short double-helical elements and three loops (D, anti-codon, and T loops). Further hydrogen bonds mediate the characteristic L-shaped molecular structure. tRNAs have two regions of fundamental functional importance: the anti-codon, which is responsible for specific mRNA codon recognition, and the 3' end, to which the tRNAs corresponding amino acid is attached (by aminoacyl-tRNA synthetases). tRNAs cope with the degeneracy of the genetic code in two manners: having more than one tRNA (with a specific anti-codon) for a particular amino acid; and 'wobble' base-pairing, i.e. permitting non-standard base-pairing at the 3rd anti-codon position. The record is from RNAcentral. Lineage: Bacteria; Pseudomonadati; Gemmatimonadota. RNAcentral also lists the same sequence under 2 other names.
GUGGGCGUAGCUCAGUAGGUUAGAGCGCCAGGUUGUGGCCCUGGAGGUCGCGGGUUCGAAUCCCGUCGCUCACC